CUCCAGCGCCUUCUUCCUCCUAGGUCCGAGGGUGACACGUCGCCGCUGGCCGUCGCAUGGGUGCCACACUAGGCGCCUUAAUCCCGCGCCGAUAGGUGCAGAGCAUCGAUCCCCAACUGCCACAUCUACACCGCCUCCAUCGCCUCCCUCGCCGUCGCAUGCAGCACCACUGCCAGGAGCUCGCCGAAGACCGAGCUCCACUACCGGUCGUCCGUUCAUCGCAUUUGUUACCCUCUGGGCAAAUCAAAUGCCACCACGAGCUUCCCUUCGACGAGCCAUACCUCCUCCACCCCUCCUCGACGUCGUCCAGGCGCCGGACCAUCGCCGCCCUCAGACAGCAGCACCCGCGGCCGCACGCCGACAAAAUUCGAUCCACCCCGAGCACCUCUGACGACGCGAUUGGGCUGACCAGUGCUGCCACCUGCCAUGGGAGCCGACCUCCCGAGUUGUUUUUGCAUCGAAGCCCCUGAAGAAACGUAUUCAACUCUACUCUGAUUGAUCCACUUUCUUAUGGGAUUUGGAAGGCAGAAGCGAUGCCUUCAUAAAGAUGCAAAAGAUUAUUUUCUCCCAAUGGCUACAUCAAUUUGGGUAAUAUCCAGAAUAGUAGUAGUACAAGCAAUAAUGUAAUAGUAAUUUUCAGAGCAUAAAAAAUUAUCACUGUGCUUCCAUGUUGCAACGCAGAUGCAUGCUAGAGUAGUAUUUUUCAUAAUUCAGAGUAGUAUUCUGUUCAUAUUCAAGUAGUAUUUUCACACUUCUGAGUAGUAUUGUUUCAUAAAUUAGAGUAGUAUUAUUUUCCUUACUCAAGUAGUAUUUUCCACAAUUUGGAGAAGUAUUUCAUAAUUAUGAGUAGUAUUUUUCGUAACACAAAGUAGUAUUUUUUGCGCUUUAUAGUUGUUCGUAACUUGUGAAUCAUACGACUAUGAGGUCAUGCUGCCACACAACAACACGACCACUUCAGCAGUCCAUGUGAAAUCAUACUAUGGUGAAAAUAAUUCUACAAGUCAUUAUGGUGUAAAUAAUUCUACAAGUCAUUAGCCAUGUUUUUUCUUGUUCUUGUAAGCUACGCGCUACUGAAGCUGGUAUGAUGAUUAAUUAAACUAAUCAAUUUGUUGUACUUCAUAGAAUGGAUAUUUGGGCUUCAAGAUACCAAAUUUGAAGUUUGGCAU
Molecule: long non-coding RNA, 1166 nt
Organism: Panicum hallii
Lineage: Eukaryota; Viridiplantae; Streptophyta; Magnoliopsida; Poales; Poaceae
Exons: 3
Source: RefSeq, a predicted model, not a curated record